Molecule: ribosomal RNA, 434 nt
Filed under: Thalassospira sp. AY06
Lineage: Bacteria; Pseudomonadati; Pseudomonadota; Alphaproteobacteria; Rhodospirillales; Thalassospiraceae
Description: bacterial SSU rRNA
Rfam family: Bacterial small subunit ribosomal RNA
Source: RNAcentral
GGAUGAUCAGCCACACUGGGGACUGAGACACGGCCCAGACUCCUACGGGGAGGGCAGCAGUGGGGAAUAUUGGACAAUGCGCGCAAGCCUGAUCCAGCCAUGCCGCGUGAGUGAAGAAGGCCUUCGAGUUGUAAAGCUCUUUCAGAUGCGAAGAUGAUGACGGUAACAUCAGAAGAAGCCCCGGCUAAUUUCGUGCCAGCAGCCGCGGUAAUACGAAAGGGGCAAGCGUUGUUCGGAUUUACUGGGCGUAAAGGGCACGCAGGCGGUCCUGCCAGUCAGGGGUGAAAGCCCGGGGCUCAACCCCGGAACUGCCUCUGAUACUGCAGGACUAGAGACUAGGAGAGGGUGGUGGAAUUCCCAGUGUAGAGGUGAAAUUCGUAGAUAUUGGGAGGAACACCAGAGGCGAAGGCGGCCACCUGGACUAGAUUGACGCU